UCAGAGGGGGCGCCCUGUUUAACUCAGUGUCCUGCUCUCCGCUCCCCGUCGCUGCUGCCUCUGACUGCUCUGCUUGUUCUGGGACUGCAACCGGUCCUGCUUCAGCUAUUUCCUGUGGACUGACAGCUGGGCUCUGCCAUUCAGGCUGCUGCUCUUCUGCUUGGGGCUCCUCUGUGGCAAAAUUCAGCUCCCCCAUGUACUGGGGAGAGAAACAGUGCCUUGCAAAAGCUGACACUUGGGAGCAAAGGCAUGCAGCGAGCGACACCCUUGUUUGCAGAAGCGCUGAAGCCAGUGCUGAGCUGUCGCUUUGCAGGGGCAAGGCUGGAGGAAUUGGGAGCAAUGAGGCAAAGGGAGUGGAGGUUCCUAGAAAGGCUUGGGAAGAUCUGUGCACUGGAAGAUUCUCCUCCGUCCCCCCAAAUCCCAGCCUCCAGGAGACUGCUUUUCCCACAUGCAGCAUUAGCCCCACCCAGGGACAUGAUAAGAAGGUCUUGAGGUGAUCAUUUCCUAAUUGUGGAUACAUCUCCAGGAGAAUAAAGGAGAAACCAUCUGUUGUGCAGUUUGAGAUGAGACUCCGCUUCAUAUGCUGUGGAAGAAGCAAAGUGUGUUGGUAAA
Hemicordylus capensis (graceful crag lizard) is the source of this 612-nucleotide long non-coding RNA. RefSeq lists it as uncharacterized. The record is from RefSeq and is a predicted model, not a curated record. The transcript has 3 exons. NCBI's taxonomy places the organism in Eukaryota, Metazoa, Chordata, Lepidosauria, Squamata, Cordylidae.